GGGUCCAUCCUAAUUCCUACAGGCUCAUGCUGGUGCCUGCUGGGUUUCGCUGGUGGACCACAUUAAUUUGGGGAAACCCUCAUAAAAACAGGCACUUGUUGCCUAUUUGUAUAGAGGAUGUUCUCAACAAAUU
Podarcis lilfordi (Lilford's wall lizard) is the source of this 133-nucleotide non-coding RNA. Lineage: Eukaryota; Metazoa; Chordata; Lepidosauria; Squamata; Lacertidae. The record is from the annotation of a GenBank genome assembly.